AUUCAAUAUUUCAGCAGUGUAAGUAUUAGAGUAGAUGCUGAGUGUUGAACAUUAAUAUAUGUACAAAAGCAGGAAAAGAUUGUUAAUGGAUAAUCAGUUAUGCUCAGCUUAAUUUUCUGUAAGCUACUGAUAAUUUGUUUGGGAGGAGUAUUUUUCUCUUACUGGGUAACUUAACAUUCAUAUAAAGGAGCUCUAUAUAAGAUCUAGAACCUAGUUAAUUCAGUGGAAAAGAGGUUAAAAAAAUGCAUUUUCAAGUAAAUGCAUCUUUAUUUCUUAAGUGAGCUAAUAAACCACUUUGAGAAAUUUGUGUUGAUGAUUCACGUUUGUAAAAAGUGUCUUUGGAUGAGUAACUUUGUUGGACUUCAGCAGCUUAGUUAACUUAUUUGUAUUAAAUUAUAUAAUAAGCUAUGGUAAUACAAAUUCAUUAUCAGAGCGAGUUUAAAGCAUGGGUCUAAAGGUCAGACAGGAGGAAACCCAUC
This 479-nucleotide long non-coding RNA is filed under the name Bos taurus (domestic cattle). Its description in RNAcentral is "long non-coding RNA NONBTAT025250". The record is from RNAcentral. Lineage: Eukaryota; Metazoa; Chordata; Mammalia; Artiodactyla; Bovidae.